AGAGUUUGAUCCUGGCUCAGGAUGAACGCUGGCGGCGUGCUUAACACAUGCAAGUCGAACGAACCUUCGGGUUAGUGGCGGACGGGUGAGUAACGCGUGAGAAUCUGCCCUCAGGAGGGGGAUAACGGCUGGAAACGGCCGCUAAUACCCCAUAUGCCGAGAGGUGAAACGAGUUUUCGCCUGAGGAUGAGCUCGCGUCUGAUUAGCUAGUUGGUGAGGUAAUGGCUCACCAAGGCAUCGAUCAGUAGCUGGUCUGAGAGGAUGAUCAGCCACACUGGGACUGAGACACGGCCCAGACUCCUUCGGGAGGCAGCAGUGGGGAAUUUUCCGCAAUGGGCGAAAGCCUGACGGAGCAACGCCGCGUGAGGGAUGAAGGCCUCUGGGCUGUAAACCUCUUUUCUCAAGGAAGAAGACCUGACGGUACUUGAGGAAUAAGCCACGGCUAAUUCCGUGCCAGCAGCCGCGGUAAUACGGGAGUGGCAAGCGUUAUCCGGAAUUAUUGGGCGUAAAGCGUCCGCAGGCGGCCUUUUAAGUCUGUUGUCAAAGCGUGGAGCUUAACUCCAUUUCGGCAAUGGAAACUGGGAGGCUUGAGUGUGGUAGGGGCAGAGGGAAUUCCCGGUGUAGCGGUGGAAUGCGUAGAUAUCGGGAAGAACACCAGUGGCGAAGGCGCUCUGCUGGGCCAUAACUGACGCUCAUGGACGAAAGCCAGGGGAGCGAAAGGGAUUAGAUACCCCUGUAGUCCUGGCCGUAAACGAUGAACACUAGGUGUCGGGGGAAUCGACCCCCUCGGUGUCGUAGCCAACGCGUUAAGUGUUCCGCCUGGGGAGUACGCACGCAAGUGUGAAACUCAAAGGAAUUGACGGGGGCCCGCACAAGCGGUGGAGUAUGUGGUUUAAUUCGAUGCAACGCGAAGAACCUUACCAGGGUUUGACAUCCUGCGAAUCCCUUGGAAACUUGGGAGUGCCUUCGGGAGCGCAGAGACAGGUGGUGCAUGGCUGUCGUCAGCUCGUGUCGUGAGAUGUUGGGUUAAGUCCCGCAACGAGCGCAACCCACGUCUUUAGUUGCCAGCAUUGAGUUGGGCACUCUAGAGACCGCCGGUGAUAAACCGGAGGAAGGUGUGGAUGACGUCAAGUCAUCAUGCCCCUUACAUCCUGGGCUACACACGUACUACAAUGCUACGGACAAAGGGCAGCAAACUCGCGAGAGCUAGCAAAUCCCAUAAACCGUGGCUCAGUUCAGAUCGUAGGCUGCAACUCGCCUACGUGAAGGAGGAAUCGCUAGUAAUCGCAGGUCAGCAUACUGCGGUGAAUACGUUCCCGGGCCUUGUACACACCGCCCGUCACACCAUGGAAGUUGGCCACGCCCGAAGCCGUUAC
This 1376-nucleotide ribosomal RNA is filed under the name metagenome. RNAcentral's name for it is "bacterial SSU rRNA". It matches the Rfam family "Bacterial small subunit ribosomal RNA". The record is from RNAcentral.